GUAGGUGCAAGCGUUGUCCGGAAUUAUGGGCGUAAAGCGCGCGCAGGCGGUUCUUUAAGUCUGAUGUGAAAGCCCACGGGCUCAACCGUGGAGGGUCAUUGGAAACUGGAGAACUUGAGUACAGAAGAGGAAAGCGGAAUUCCACGUGUAGCGGUGAAAUGCGUAGAGAUGUGGAGGAACACCAGUGGCGAAGGCGGCUUUCUGGUCUGUAACUGACGCUGAGGCGCGAAAGCGUGGGGAGCAAACAGGAUUAGAUACCCUGGUAGUCCACGCCGUAAACGAUGAGUGCUAAGUGUUAGGGGGGUUUCCGCCCCUUAGUGCUGCAGCUAACGCAUUAAGCACUCCGCCUGGGGAGUACGGCCGCAAGGCUG
RNAcentral lists this ribosomal RNA (371 nucleotides) under uncultured organism. RNAcentral's name for it is "partial 16S ribosomal RNA". It matches the Rfam family "Bacterial small subunit ribosomal RNA", at positions 528 to 896 of the family's 1533-position model. The record is from RNAcentral.